AACUUAUAACUGUUGAGAAUACCUAAAGAAAUAAUAACAAUAAUAUCCAUAUGAAAGGACGAUGAAAACUUAACACAGGAAAAAUGAGUGUUACAGGAAUCAAAGGAAACAUUGGAAAGGAUAAAAAGACUUUGAAAUGUACUACAAAUUCCAUUACGACUUCAAUUGUUAACGAAGAAAUUUCCACCUCCGAAAUUCGACACAAGAGGACAAUUCAGGUCUUUAACGACCCUGUCUCUCCAGCUAUAUUGACGUAUUCGAACCUCUUUUGGACUCUCUUUUCUUUUAUACAAUUCUGUUCAUAUCUCGAUUCGUUCCCAUCAAAUUGUUAAGUAAUA
This 338-nucleotide long non-coding RNA is filed under the name Androctonus crassicauda. Lineage: Eukaryota; Metazoa; Arthropoda; Arachnida; Scorpiones; Buthidae. The record is from RNAcentral.